Molecule: ribosomal RNA, 249 nt
Filed under: uncultured bacterium
Lineage: Bacteria
Description: partial 16S ribosomal RNA
Rfam family: Bacterial small subunit ribosomal RNA
Source: RNAcentral
GAUCCUGGCUCAGGAUGAACGCUAGCAACAGGCUUAACACAUGCAAGUCGAGGGGCAGCGAGGGAGUGGCAACACUUCUGUCGGCGACCGGCGCACGGGUGAGUAACGCGUAUGCAACCUGCCCUUCACAGGGGGGAUAACCGGGAGAAAUUCCGACUAAUACCGCAUACGUCCUUUGGGGGCAUCCCCGGGGGAUGAAAGAAUUAUCGGUGAAGGAUGGGCAUGCGUGAUAUUAGGUAGUUGGCGGGG